This 406-nucleotide ribosomal RNA is filed under the name uncultured bacterium. RNAcentral describes it as "partial 16S ribosomal RNA". It matches the Rfam family "Bacterial small subunit ribosomal RNA", at positions 30 to 526 of the family's 1533-position model. The record is from RNAcentral.
AUUGAACGCUGGCGGCAGGCCUAACACAUGCAAGUCGAACGAGCGGCGGACGGGUGAGUAAUGUCUGGGGAUCUGCCUGAUGGAGGGGGAUAACUACUGGAAACGGUAGCUAAUACCGCAUACUAUCGGAUGUGCCCAUAUGGGAUUAGGUAGUAGGUGGGGUAAAGGCUCACCUACGCGACUAUCCCUAGCUGGUCUGAGAGGAUGAACAGCCAAACUGGAACUGAGACAAGGCCCAGACUCCUACGGGAGGCAGCAGUGGGGAAUAUUGCACAAGGGGCGCAAGCCUGAUGCAGCCAUGCCGCGUGUAUGAAGAAGGCCUUAGGGUGGUAAAGUACUUUCAGCGGGGAGGCGUUACCCGCAGAAGAAGCACCGGCUAACUCCGUGCCAGCAGCCGCGGUAAUAC